AACAGGUUAACGCAGAAGCCUGUAAGGCGGGGAAACACCCGCCGCAAGCUGUCGGCUCUUUAGCCCCGCCCCCAACUCCUGAGGAACUAGGAGGCGUGGCUCGGCCUCACCACACGCGGCUCCAAGGUGUGGGAUUCGCCUAGAGAGGAAAGGUAGGCGCGUGCGCCCGCUUGCUUUAAGUUUGCGGUUAAAAUCCCAUGGAAUGCCGUGAGACGUCUCUCCGGAAGAAACAGGAGGAGGGGUUCAUGCAGGUUUCUUGCUUCCCCCCCAAAAAAAAAGCCAUAGUUUUUUCUCCUGCAUGGACAGCAAGUCAAGCUGUCCCAGAUCAAGGACAAGAAGACUGCCUUCAGGUCCAUUGUUCUUCCUCCACCCAGAAUGACAUCACUUCGAGCCAGAGGAAUUAGAAAACAUCCCAUUUUACCCAGGCGUUUGAUGGCUGAAGCAGACUGCUCCUGGCAAUGUGAAGAUCAAAGGUGGAAGAAUGUUUUAACAGUGUUUUUAGAAUAUUUUAAUUGUUUUUAGAAUGUUUUAACUGUGUUUUAGAAUG
Long non-coding RNA from Rhineura floridana, 547 nucleotides. RefSeq lists it as uncharacterized. Lineage: Eukaryota; Metazoa; Chordata; Lepidosauria; Squamata; Rhineuridae. The record is from RefSeq and is a predicted model, not a curated record. The transcript is spliced from 3 exons.